Molecule: ribosomal RNA, 484 nt
Filed under: uncultured bacterium
Lineage: Bacteria
Description: partial 16S ribosomal RNA
Rfam family: Bacterial small subunit ribosomal RNA
Source: RNAcentral
AUUGAACGCUGGCGGCAGGCCUAACACAUGCAAGUCGAGCGGAUGAAGGGAGCUUGCUCCUGGAUUCAGCGGCAGACGGGUGAGUAAUGCCUAGGAAUCUGCCUGGUAGUGGGGGAUAACGUCCGGAAACGGGCGCUAAUACCGCAUACGUCCUGAGGGAGAAAGUGGGGGAUCUUCGGACCUCACGCUAUCAGAUGAGCCUAGGUCGGAUUAGCUAGUUGGUGGGGUAAAGGCCUACCAAGGCGACGAUCCGUAACUGGUCUGAGAGGAUGAUCAGUCACACUGGAACUGAGACACGGUCCAGACUCCUACGGGAGGCAGCAGUGGGGAAUAUUGGACAAUGGGCGAAGGCCUGAUCCAGCCAUGCCGCGUGUGUGAAGAAGGUCUUCGGAUUGUAAAGCACUUUAAGUUGGGAGGAAGGGCAGUAAGUUAAUACCUUGCUGUUUUGACGUUACCAACAGAAUAAGCACCGGCUAACUUCGUG